UGCACCCCGCCACAGACCGCCCCUGCCACCGGCCGCGCCCCACCAACGCCGGGCCUCGUUUCUCGCCCCGUCACUGCCAGGGAGCGGACGCCCCAACACCGGCCAGGCGCCACCAAUGCCAGACCUCCUAUCUCGCCCCAUCACCGUCCUGGAGCGGACACCCCACCACCGCCCGCGCCCCACCAUCGGCAUCCAAGUGGCAUCCAGGCUCGAGGUACAAGGUCUUCACACCUCUCUUAACUCACUGUAUGUGUUUUGUGAAGAGGUAGUUAGAGUUUGAUACAUUCACAAGUUAAGCUGAAGGAAUAUAUGCUAAACAAGUGAGGUAUGUUGUCUCCGUAUCAAAAUAUAAGAUGUUUUUGUAUACUCCUUUUGUAUCAAAAAAUGUCUUAUAUUUUGAUAUAAAAGAAGUAUUUGCUAGGCAAGACAAUUUAUUUAUCAUAAUAAAGCAUGUUAAUACAUUCAUUUCUUCUACAUCAACAUAAUUUUGGAAUGUAUAGCUCCUGGCUGCCGAACACAUGAGGUUGAAUUUUGUUAUCCACAUGAUUUGGUCUUCUUAUUGAUAGCAACGUGAACGUUCAGAAAUAUUGUUUUCGUUCAUUUGCCUGUUCUUAUAGUGGACAUGAAACGUCUUAUAUUUUGAUACAGAGGAAGUAUUUGCUAGGCAAGACAACUUAUUUAUCGUAAUAAACCAUGUUAAUACAUUCAUUUCUGCUGCAUGAACGUAAUUUUGUAAUGUAUAGCUCUAGACUACCGAAGACAUGAGGUUGAAUUUGGUUAUCCACAACAUGAUUUGGUAUUCUUAUUGAUAGCAACGCGACCUUCACAAAUAUUGUUUUCGUUCAUUAGCCUUUUCUUAUAGUGGACGUAAAAUCUUUUUGCGACCUUUUUACUAGGUGACUUUUGGGUUAUGUAGAGAUUUGUAGUUAUUUUUUUCCUGGAUCAGAUUUUGCGUUACAUUAUGUUUAAUUAAUGUGUACCUUUAGUUUUAUCUUACUUUGUUUGCGAGAUGCUAAUUGUGUGUCAGAGUUUUCGACAGCAAGAUCACCAUAAUGAGGUAGCUAUCUUGAUUUCAUUUGUGUUUUCUUGGCACAAAUGUACAAUGUAACUUUUCAUAAUAAUUAUUCCAUGCAUCAUUGGUACCAUAGCAUUGCUUCUGGAGUUGACAUUCAAUUUUCUGGUGGUUUUGGCGGUGGUGAUGGUACAGGGUCGGUGAUGAGUGAUAGAAGAAGUACAACUCUAUCAACGGAGAAAAUAUACUCUUGACGGAGGCCAUGACGGGUAGCUAGAUCCAAAACGCAGAGAAUCAAGGUUUAUUUUCCUGGUGUCCUAUGUCACCGUUGAUACUAUUGUGGUACAUGAUCAAGGAUGGUACCAUUGACCCCGUGAAAAUGAGCCAAACUCCACUUCAAGGUGCAGCAAGGAAUUGUGUGAACACCAACCUCAGAGAUGGAACAAGGAGUUCACAUUCGCAUUGAUCAUCCUUGGGGAUUAAGAGGAAUUCGGGGGCUCUACUUUCAAAUUGGCAUCAAGCUUCACGAUGUGGUGACCUGCUAGGAUGGGUGACAUUUAUCUCUCUUCCUUGCAUCUCAUGCUUUAAAUUGGGUGUUGUUUGGUUUGUUCGGAUUUAUCACUAUGUUCCCGCGGAACUAAUCAGUGUUGUGGAAUAUUAGAAAUAUUUGAUGAGGUACAUUGAAAUUGGGUUGGUUUAUAACUUUGAUGAAAAAUUAUUUUCUUUUAAUUCGAUUACUCCUUAUACU
Molecule: long non-coding RNA, 1760 nt
Organism: Hordeum vulgare subsp. vulgare (domesticated barley)
Lineage: Eukaryota; Viridiplantae; Streptophyta; Magnoliopsida; Poales; Poaceae
Exons: 3
Source: RefSeq, a predicted model, not a curated record